This 33-nucleotide ribosomal RNA is filed under the name Cladonia cenotea. RNAcentral describes it as "partial 28S ribosomal RNA". The record is from RNAcentral. RNAcentral also lists the same sequence under 1 other name. Lineage: Eukaryota; Fungi; Ascomycota; Lecanoromycetes; Lecanorales; Cladoniaceae.
AGGUAGGGAUACCCGCUGAACUUAAGCAUAUCA